This 905-nucleotide ribosomal RNA is filed under the name Aspergillus niger. RNAcentral's name for it is "SSU rRNA". It matches the Rfam family "Eukaryotic small subunit ribosomal RNA", at positions 62 to 989 of the family's 1831-position model. Lineage: Eukaryota; Fungi; Ascomycota; Eurotiomycetes; Eurotiales; Aspergillaceae. The record is from RNAcentral.
GGUUUUUUUCACUUAAGGGGAACCUCGAAUGGCUCAUUAAAUCAGUUAUCGUUUAUUUGAUAGUACCUUACUACAUGGAUACCUGUGGUAAUUCUAGAGCUAAUACAUGCUGAAAACCUCGACUUCGGAAGGGGUGUAUUUAUUAGAUAAAAAACCAAUGCCCUUCGGGGCUCCUUGGUGAAUCAUAAUAACUUAACGAAUCGCAUGGCCUUGCGCCGGCGAUGGUUCAUUCAAAUUUCUGCCCUAUCAACUUUCGAUGGUAGGAUAGUGGCCUACCAUGGUGGCAACGGGUAACGGGGAAUUAGGGUUCGAUUCCGGAGAGGGAGCCUGAGAAACGGCUACCACAUCCAAGGAAGGCAGCAGGCGCGCAAAUUACCCAAUCCCGACACGGGGAGGUAGUGACAAUAAAUACUGAUACGGGGCUCUUUUGGGUCUCGUAAUUGGAAUGAGUACAAUCUAAAUCCCUUAACGAGGAACAAUUGGAGGGCAAGUCUGGUGCCAGCAGCCGCGGUAAUUCCAGCUCCAAUAGCGUAUAUUAAAGUUGUUGCAGUUAAAAAGCUCGUAGUUGAACCUUGGGUCUGGCUGGCCGGUCCGCCUCACCGCGAGUACUGGUCCGGCUGGACCUUUCCUUCUGGGGAAUCUCAUGGCCUUCACUGGCUGUGGGGGGAACCAGGACUUUUACUGUGAAAAAAUUAGAGUGUUCAAAGCAGGCCUUUGCUCGAAUACAUUAGCAUGGAAUAAUAGAAUAGGACGUGCGGUUCUAUUUUGUUGGUUUCUAGGACCGCCGUAAUGAUUAAUAGGGAUAGUCGGGGGCGUCAGUAUUCAGCUGUCAGAGGUGAAAUUCGUGGAUUUGCUGAAGACUAACUACUGCGAAAGCAUUUGCCAAGGAAGGAAGAAGAGAAAAG